Molecule: RNA transcript, 2219 nt
Organism: Micropterus salmoides (largemouth bass)
Lineage: Eukaryota; Metazoa; Chordata; Actinopteri; Centrarchiformes; Centrarchidae
Gene: mat2b
Gene name: methionine adenosyltransferase II, beta
Exons: 8
Source: RefSeq, a predicted model, not a curated record
UCCGCGUAAAAGCGGAAGCGGAAGAGCUCGAGAACAAAGUGCGCACCAGAGAAGCAGAGCGGCGCCGAGUGAUCGAUAUCGAUCAGUGACACCGAUCAGAAACCCGUCUGAUCAGAGAGAGCGAAGAUGAACCGCGCAGGCGCAGAAUUGAGGAUUAUCUUCAGCCCGGGCCGCGUGCAGCUGGUUCAGGAGGAGGCUGUGGUCCCGGCUCCUACAGUCCUAGUUACCGGGGCAACUGGUCUUCUGGGUCGAGCUGUCUGCAGUGAGUUUCAGAGCAGCGGCUGGUUGGUUAUCGGGACUGGAUACAGAAGAGCCAGACCCCGCCUCCUCCGCUGUGACCUCACAGAUGAGGACGCUGUCAGAGGACUACUGCAAGAGUACAAGCCUGAUGUGAUUGUCCACUGUGCAGCCGAGAGACGUCCAGAUGUUGUGGAGAGACACACUGAAGCUGCUGUAAAUCUCAAUGUGCAUGCCACGAGCACGCUCGCGAAGGAGGCAGCUGUCUGCGGAGCGUUCUUCCUCUACAUCAGCACCGACUAUGUGUUCGAUGGCAGGAAUCCUCCGUACGGAGAAGACGACAGUCCCAAUCCUCUGAACGUUUAUGGACGCAGCAAACUGGAGGGAGAGAGAGAGACACUGAGACACUGUCCAGGUGCAGUGGUGCUGCGGGUGCCGGUUCUGUUCGGGGAGGUGGAGUCGGUGUCAGAGAGCGCCGUGACAUCGCUGUGGCUGAAAGUCCAGGAGGCGUCAGAGAGCUGCACCCUGGAUCACUGCCAGCAGAGGUUCCCCACCGACACCCGGGACGUCGCUGCUGUCUGCAGGAAGCUGUCCGAGAGAAGGAGACAGGACCCGUCUAUCAGAGGAAUCUUUCAUUUCUCAGGUAAAGAGCAGAUGACUAAAUAUGAGAUGGCCGUCGCGAUCGCUCAGGCCUUCAACCUGCCGUCCAGCCACCUCAUCCCUCUGACGGAGCAGCCAGCGGCGUCGACUCUUCGUCCGAUCAACAGCCAGUUAAACUGUUCCCGCCUGGAGCUGCUGAACCUGAGCGUGGAGCCGCGACCUUUCACCUCCGCCAUCAUCGACUGUCUGUGGCCGUUCACACCGGACAAACGCUGGAGACAGACAGUCUUCCACUGACAGACGGGUGGAGGGAGACAGACUGACGAGUGGAGGGAGACGGGUGGAGACAGACAGACUGAUGAGUGGAGGGAGACAGACAGACAGAAAAACAGACGGGUGGAGACAGACAGAGGGGUGGAGACAGGUGGAGACAGACACAGACAAAUAGGUGGAGACAGACAAACGGAUGAAGACACACAGACAGACAGGUGGAGACAUAUACAGACAAAUAGGUGGAGACAGACAAACGGAUGAAGACAGACAGACAGACAGACAGGUGGAGACAGACACAGACAAAUAGGUGGAGACAGACAGACAGAUGAGAAAACAUCUACCCAUCUUUGGCUGUCACAUUUCAGGCUCCUCCCCCUACAGUCUGAUGACAUCAUAAGUAGGCGUGAACCAAUCCAGAUGCUGCGCUGAUAAACGAGUCUUUACCUGAAGACACACCCGUCAGGUGUUGGGUGAUGCGUUCAGGUGCACUCACUGAUGUCAGCAGGUGUCUCCUGAAGUGGACCAAUGAUUGACAGAUGUGUUAGGCCACGUCCAACUGUGUGGGUGGAGCCUGAGGUGAGACAUGUCACGUGACAGAGAGAGAGAGAGAGAGACAGGUACUACUGAGACAGACAGGUGACGAACGCUGAUAUGUUUCCAAUAUAUUUCCAAUAUGUGUUGUGUUGUAAGCCCUCAGUUCUGCCUGCAGGUUCAAGUUAGCACCAGAUCUGUGUUGGAAACCGGAGUGACUCCAGUUUGUAAUGGUGUGAGACCAACUCCAUAUAAAUGAUGCUGUUUACACUGUGUCCUCCUGACGUCCAGGUAAACGGUUUCACGUGUUUUGUUUUACUUUAAUAUAUUUUAGUUUAGUUUAAAAUAAAACAGUUUAUUUUUCAAAACAAAGUCCGUCAUUAGAGUCCAAAGACUUUAAAUGGACACUUUAAAAAAAGGGGUUCAGUGAAGAAAACACAAGAGUUGACAGGACUUGAGAUCUAUGUUGUCCUGCAGAGGACAAACUGCUGGUUUCAAUGUAAAGUUUGGGUCCAGACGUGGUUCUGCGGUGUGCUGUUGUAAACGAGUCCUUCACAUUAAACACUACUGAGAUACUC